UGUGGACUCCCCAUGGGUACAGCUGGCAUCACACAGGUGGAAGGGAGAUCUGCAGCCAGGCAAACACCCCUUGGACAUCCAUGCCCUGGAGGUGGGCCACAGUUUCAAAAGGACUUAAAAAACAUAGCAACAACACAUUCCAACACUUCCUUCUGCUUAUGGGAAAGCACCCUGCCCUCCAAACCUAGCGCCUGGAAAAUGCGAAUUUCUCAGCCCACACUGAAGCCUUCUGGAGUAAAGCUAUUUGUGUGCAGUGAGGAGUGCAUCAUGCUUUGGCCAUAACUGGAAUGUGCACAGCUUUGUGAAGUUUCUCAGAAUGACUCAAAGAGUGGAAGCAAAUAAAAAACCACAGAGAUAUUUGUGUCUUCA
This is a long non-coding RNA of Parus major (Great Tit), 369 nucleotides long. NCBI's taxonomy places the organism in Eukaryota, Metazoa, Chordata, Aves, Passeriformes, Paridae. The record is from Ensembl.